Molecule: ribosomal RNA, 318 nt
Filed under: uncultured Acidobacteriota bacterium
Lineage: Bacteria; Pseudomonadati; Acidobacteriota
Description: bacterial SSU rRNA
Rfam family: Bacterial small subunit ribosomal RNA
Source: RNAcentral
AUCCUGGCUCAGAAUCAACGCUGGCGGCGCGCUUAACACAUGCAAGUCGAACGGGAAAGUGGGCAACCAUGAGUACAGUGGCGUACGGGUGAGUAACACGUGGGUAAUCUACCUCUUAGUGGGGAAUAACCCUGGGAAACCGGGGCUAAUACCGCAUAAGCUCGAGAGAGGAAAGUCGCAAGACGCUGAGAGAGGAGCCCGCGGCCGAUUAGCUAGUUGGGAGGGUAAAAGCCUACCAAGGCAGAGAUCGGUAGCCGGCCUGAGAGGGCACACGGCCACACUGGCACUGAAACACGGGCCAGACUCCUACGGGAGGCA